Long non-coding RNA from Sardina pilchardus (European sardine), 1089 nucleotides. RefSeq lists it as uncharacterized. The transcript is spliced from 3 exons. NCBI's taxonomy places the organism in Eukaryota, Metazoa, Chordata, Actinopteri, Clupeiformes, Clupeidae. The record is from RefSeq and is a predicted model, not a curated record.
CGCGCCAUCGUCGCGGAUGUUUUUUCUGUAGGCUGGAGUGUAUCCCGAGGAUAUUAUAAUCCUCCCUUCAGUAAGGUGACCACACACACGCCUCUGUGAGUUCGCCCUGUUCUCUGCUAGACACGAGAAGUAUUAUGGUGUAUGGCGUGAGAGGGGGACUGGAAAGUUCCUCACAUUCUGCUGCCUGCACCUUGGGAGAGGCAGGGGACCCGUGCCAGAGCUGGAGCCCUGGCAGCAGUCUGAUGUCCAUCUUCAGUGCCGGCCCAGCACUGCUUCUCAUGCCAGUGGGACCAAAUUGAAGGCCAAGUCUUGACUGAUGCGCGGUAUAGCUGAAGCCUCCGACCACCACACCUGACUGGGAGCUUAUCGGCCUGUGCAGGAGGGUCUGAGCCACCCAGACAUGAGAGGGAGAUGAGCUCCCCUGAUAAGUCUGCGGAUGCGGAGGGGGCCCGGGAGGCUGGACCCGCAGAUGGAUGGGCCUUUUCCCUGGCCGCCGGCAGCUCUUAAGCUUGUGUAACCAUCCUCAUCUCUUACUCCUUCAAGUAUCCCUUUCUCUCCAAGGAAGACCAGAUCAGCACCCAUCAUCUCUGCAUAGCCGAUGAACGUGCCUGUGAUUUACAUUUCAGAGAAUGGGGAGUCUAUCAAUCCAUUUAUCUGCUUUGUAAUGCCUUUAUCAUUAAAUUGAACCUUGUGCUCUCUCUCUCUCUCUCUCUCUCUCUCUCUCUUUCUAUCUCUCAUUUUCCUGGCACUUUAAUAGUAUUACGGUGAGUCUCCUUUUCCAACUUGAUUAAUUAAUUUGAUCUCAGGUCCAUCCAUUUAUGUUAAAAAGGAGAUUUCUGUUUAACACACCUGGAUUAUUUAAGGCACAUUUUAAUUUUUAUAAAAUCUGUCAAGGUUUUCUUUUCACCUCCAGAAGCAGGUUGAGCCUCACAGUUCUCCUUUCCUUCACCACCAUCCAGUAUUAAAGAUGUAUUAUUUGUUUAAAAAUAGAUGUUUAAUUCAACUAAUGGACAAUUUUAACAACAGAGUGGAUUAUUUCAUCAGAUCAUUUGAAAUUUUGCUUCAUGUUUUCCAAAAAAACUAUCUCCC